AGUGAACGCUGGCGGUAGGCCUAACACAUGCAAGUCGAACGGCAGCACAGUAAGAGCUUGCUCUUACGGGUGGCGAGUGGCGGACGGGUGAGGAAUACAUCGGAAUCUACUUUUUCGUGGGGGAUAACGUAGGGAAACUUACGCUAGUACCGCAUACGACCUACGGGUGAAAGCAGGGGAUCUUCGGACCUUGCGCGAUUGAAUGAGUCGAUGUCGGAUUAGCUAGUUGGCGGGGUAAAGGCCCACCAAGGCGACGAUCCGUAGCUGGUCUGAGAGGAUGAUCAGCCACACUGGAACUGAGACACGGUCCAGACUCCUACGGGAGGCAGCAGUGGGGAAUAUUGGACAAUGGGCGCAAGCCUGAUCCAGCCAUACCGCGUGGGUGAAGAAGGCCUUCGGGUUGUAAAGCCCUUUUGUUGGGAAAGAAAAGCAGCAGGUUAAUACCCCGCUGUUCUGACGGUACCCAAAGAAUAAGCACCGGCUAACUUCGUG
RNAcentral lists this ribosomal RNA (492 nucleotides) under uncultured bacterium. RNAcentral's name for it is "partial 16S ribosomal RNA". It matches the Rfam family "Bacterial small subunit ribosomal RNA", at positions 29 to 507 of the family's 1533-position model. The record is from RNAcentral.